Pongo abelii (Sumatran orangutan) is the source of this 104-nucleotide small nucleolar RNA. Lineage: Eukaryota; Metazoa; Chordata; Mammalia; Primates; Hominidae. The record is from Ensembl.
AUUCUUUUGUAGUUCAAAAGCAUGAUGAUUGGGUGUUCACGGGCAUGUGUGAGACGUGCCACCCUAUGAACCUCCUUAUGACCCGGUACAUUACUUGUCUGAUC